Molecule: ribosomal RNA, 221 nt
Filed under: uncultured bacterium
Lineage: Bacteria
Description: partial 16S ribosomal RNA
Rfam family: Bacterial small subunit ribosomal RNA
Source: RNAcentral
UACGGAGGGUGCGAGCGUUUGUCCGGAAUCACUGGGCGUAAAGGCGCGUAGGUGGCGCCGCAAGUCAACGGUGAAAGCUCGACGCUUAACGUCGAGUCGGCCGUCGAGACUGCGGGGCUCGAGCACUGUAGAGGCUCAUGGAAUUCCGGGUGUAGCGGUGGAAUGCGUAGAGAUCCGGAAGAACACCGGUGGCGAGGCGGUGAGCUGGGCGAGUUGCUGGA